CAGCAGCCGCGGUAAUACGAAGGGUGCAAGCGUUAAUCGGAAUUACUGGGCGUAAAGCGUGCGUAGGCGGUGAGUUAAGUCUGCUGUGAGAUCCCCGGGCUUAACCUGGGAACUGCAUUUGUGACUGGCGAGCUAGAGUACGGUAGAGGGGGAUGGAAUUCCGCGUGUAGCAGUGAAAUGCGUAGAUAUGCAGAGGAACACCGAUGGCGAAGGCAAUCCCCUGGACCUGUACUGACGCUCAUGCACGAAAGCGUGGGGAGCAAACAGGAUUAGAUACCCCGGUAGUCCCUGUCUCUUAUAC
Molecule: ribosomal RNA, 301 nt
Filed under: uncultured bacterium
Lineage: Bacteria
Description: partial 16S ribosomal RNA
Rfam family: Bacterial small subunit ribosomal RNA
Source: RNAcentral